GAUGAACGCUGGCGGCGUGCCUAAUACAUGCAAGUCGAGCGAACAGAUGAGGAGCUUGCUCCUCUGACGUUAGCGGCGGACGGGUGAGUAACACGUGGAUAACCUACCUAUAAGACUGGGAUAACUUCGGGAAACCGGAGCUAAUACCGGAUAAUAUAUUGAACCGCAUGGUUCAAUAGUGAAAGACGGUUUUGCUGUCACUUAUAGAUGGAUCCGCGCCGCAUUAGCGAGUUGGUAAGGUAACGGCUUACCAAGGCAACGAUGCGUAGCCGACCUGAGAGGGUGAGCGGCCACGCGGGAACGGAGACAGGGUGCAGACGCCGACGGGAGGCAGCGGUGGGGAGGCGGGCGGAAUGGGCGAAAGCGGGACGGAGGAACGGGGCGUGAGUGAGGAGGGGGGGCGGAGCGGGAAGCGGGGUUAUGAGGGAAGAAGAAAGGUGUAAGUAGCGAGGCGCGUGUGGACGGUAGCUGAGCAGAAAGCGACGGCUAACUACGUG
RNAcentral lists this ribosomal RNA (497 nucleotides) under uncultured bacterium. RNAcentral's name for it is "partial 16S ribosomal RNA". It matches the Rfam family "Bacterial small subunit ribosomal RNA", at positions 28 to 507 of the family's 1533-position model. The record is from RNAcentral.